AACGGGUUGAAUGCCACCACCUGUGGAGGAUGUAGCGUCUCUAGACUUUUUACAUCUUUGAUACUAUCUAUGGCUGCUUAUUAUUUUUCCUACAUAGUGACUUUUAAUUCUCAGCCUUUUUUUUUUGUCUUCUUUUUGGUUCUGUAAUUAUGUCUCUAUGGGUUUUUUCUCACCAUUUAAUACUAAUCAAAUUUUUGUUUCAUUUUUCAUGUACUUCCCACUUCAAACAUCAAGUAAGGAUUUGACUUUAGUGACUUCUGCAAACUGUAGCUUUCGUAUUAAA
This 283-nucleotide long non-coding RNA is filed under the name Malus domestica (apple). Its description in RNAcentral is "long non-coding RNA (MDOM_LNC003377)". The record is from RNAcentral. Lineage: Eukaryota; Viridiplantae; Streptophyta; Magnoliopsida; Rosales; Rosaceae.